GGAAUUUUGGGCAAUGGGCGAAAGCCUGACCCAGCAACGCCGCGUGAAGGAUGAAGUCCUUCGGGAUGUAAACUUCGUAAGAAUGGGAGGAAUAAAUGACGGUACCAUUUGUAAGGUCCGGCUAACUACGUGCCAGCAGCCGCGGGAAUACGUAGGGACCAAGCGUUGAUCGGAUUUACUGGGCGUAAAGGGAGCGUAGGCGGCGCGUCAAGUCAGCUGUGAAAUCUUAAGGCUUAACCUUAAGCGGUCAGCUGAUACUGUCGUGCUAGAGUACAGAAGGGGCAAUCGGAAUUCUUGGUGUAGCGGUGAAAUGCGUAGAUAUCAAGAGGAACACCUGAGGUGAAGACGGGUUGCUGGGCUGAUACUGACGCUGAGGCUCGAAAGCCAGGGGAGCAAAC
RNAcentral lists this ribosomal RNA (398 nucleotides) under uncultured bacterium. RNAcentral's name for it is "bacterial SSU rRNA". It matches the Rfam family "Bacterial small subunit ribosomal RNA", at positions 358 to 773 of the family's 1533-position model. The record is from RNAcentral.